AUUCAACCGGAAAACACCGGUUAAGUGGUAGGAAUUAUGUAUGAAAUCAAUUAGAAUCGGAACACAAAUUAUUAACAGCCUUCAACAAGAAAAUCGAUCACAAUUUUAUUGGUUAAGCUGUAUAAAAAGCACAUAUUGUUCGUGUCAACUUUUUUUAAGUUUCGAUUUUUAAAUAACACUAACCAAUUCAAUUCACAAUGUUAAAAAUUUAUAUUUUUUUAUUUGCAAUUUUGACAGUAGCGCUGUGUUCUCCAGUUGUGCUGGAUGAAUUUCCUGAAAUGAUGACAGAAGAUAAGAGAGCCAAACCAAACUGUGGCAGUGGAGCCGUGUGUGGCAAACGUUGCUGUAAAGGUGGUUCUUUUCCAUUCCCACCGAGACCCAAGACGUAAAUCGUAACACUUUUGAAAACACACUUUUUUAAGGUGAAGUUGUUGAUCAUUUUCGAAGAAAAUUGAUCAUCACUGUAAAAUUCUCUGUAUUGAAUUCAAUUCAACGAAUUUCUGCACCAAAAUGAAUCAGCAUGUGCCUUCUUGAAGCCACUGAAAGAAUUUUC
Culex pipiens pallens (northern house mosquito) is the source of this 553-nucleotide long non-coding RNA. RefSeq lists it as uncharacterized. The record is from RefSeq and is a predicted model, not a curated record. NCBI's taxonomy places the organism in Eukaryota, Metazoa, Arthropoda, Insecta, Diptera, Culicidae. The transcript is spliced from 2 exons.